AGUGAACGCUGGCGGUAGGCCUAACACAUGCAAGUCGAACGGCAGCACAGUAAGAGCUUGCUCUUACGGGUGGCGAGUGGCGGACGGGUGAGGAAUACAUCGGAAUCUACUUUUUCGUGGGGGAUAACGUAGGGAAACUUACGCUAAUACCGCAUACGACCUACGGGUGAAAGCAGGGGAUCUUCGGACCUUGCGCGAUUGAAUGAGCCGAUGUCGGAUUAGCUAGUUGGCGGGGUAAAGGCCCACCAAGGCGACGAUCCGUAGCUGGUCUGAGGGGAUGAUCCGCCACACUUGAACGGAGACACGGUGCAGACUCCUACGGGAGGCAGCAGUGGGGAAUAUUGGACAAUGGGCGGAAGCCUGAUCCAGCCAUACCGCGUGGGUGAAGAAGGCCUUCGGGUUGUAAAGCCCUUUUGUUGGGAAAGAAAAGCAGCAGGUUAAUACCCCGCUGUUCUGACGGUACCCAAAGAAUAAGCACCGGCUAACUUCGU
Molecule: ribosomal RNA, 491 nt
Filed under: uncultured bacterium
Lineage: Bacteria
Description: partial 16S ribosomal RNA
Rfam family: Bacterial small subunit ribosomal RNA
Source: RNAcentral